UAUCGAACCACUGGGGGAACAAUCAAAUGGAGGCUGACCAGGUGCUUGUUGGAGCCACUACCUCGACAAGGACUAGACGGGUCGUGAACGUCUUCACUUUUAUCCAUUCUCCUUCUUCAAAGGCAGAUUGUUUAGAGAGAUCUGGCACGAGUGGCUGAAGUCUCGCCCCGUGUUCUUCUGUCCCAUUUGUCCUUUAAUUUAACGUGCCAGCGACUUUUCUCUUUGCUUUAAUAGUCAGCCCUCUGAAUGCAGCCACACUGCAAAGACAGAAAAUGGGGAUUCCCUGCCUUGUAAGAGCUAAUCGGCUUCCUUUUUCUUCCUUUCUUGUGUUUAAUUCUCCAUCUAUGCCUUCCUGGAGAAUAUCCUCAAGAUAUGGAGGCACGAAGCUGUGAGCUGUUGGCCAACUCCUGACCUCUCUUUUCUUGAUCCUGAAUUUUAUUUUUACAAUAGAUCACACUUUGCCUUCCUGUAUUUUAGACCUGAUUUUUCACCAAGUCUCAAGGCCUAGUGGACUCAAGUCUUUUCAUGGAAUGGCUCUACUUCUUAAUACCUUACGAGUAUUGGCGAAUCCGCUGCAAGGACCUUCGGAGAGGCCUGUCUGCUACCGUGUCAUAAACUGACUACGGGAGCACAACGAAUGCCUCCGCUUUCUUCAACGAAGGCAACCUCUAAGUUUUCCUUCCAUUUAUCCAUGGCUUCUUUAGGUUUUUAUUGAUAACUGGAUUGCUGCAGGACUGAAAUUUCAAGCUAGCCUCAACACCCAACUAGCAGCCUCAACGCCUCUUACAAGAAGCCUCCCCAAGUAGUGUCGUCCUCAUUCUUGGCACGGCCAGCUUCUGCUUCAAGUACUUCUUCGACGGGAGGAUACAGAAUUCCUUCACCUCUUGGUCACGCCCUCUGAAUAUUUUCCACCUUAUCAAAAUGUCCUUCCUAAAAGCUGACACCAAAAACCGAGCAUAAUCCUGGAGAGAGAAGGCCAGUCUCGUUUCAGUUCUGGGUGAAACAUCGAGUGAACCCCCCAGGCUCACCUCCAUCUGGGCAGACUGUCGGCCAGCUCAGCAUGAACAACAUCUGGGUGGGUCCACGUGGCUUCGCAGCUCAACGUCUAACUUUGGGCAAACGUCUGUGAACUCUUAAGAAGUUGGUAGAAUUCUCAGUCCCGGGUUGGCAAGAGAACAUGUUUGGCAAAAAAGCAAAUACAACCUGAAACUGCUUUCUCUCCCCCCAGGAGGUGAGUGCCGGCUCUGGAUUCUCCAAGGGCACUGACUGACCCAGCUAUGGGAACCGUCCUGGGGAGUUACAUGAGGGGAGAAAGGGGCUCCCAACAUGGAAGUUGUUAUUUCACACAUCUUUUUCAAUAAUAUUUUACUUUCCCCCAAUUACAUGUAAAAACAAUUUCUAACAUUCCUUUUUUAAAAGGUGGAAUCCCAAAUUCUCUUCCUCCCAUUUUCUAGACACAUACCUCACUAUCAUCGCCCUUUAAAUAUGUGCCCACUCUCCCCGCGUGUACUGGAGGUAUUUUUGAGCUAGUCCGCCCCCAAAGAAAUAUUUUCCAUGGCCUGUAAGCUACAGCUUCUUCGCAAAUAUCUUGUCUAAAGCUCGAAAAAAAUGUCAUAAGAGAGUUGCUGGUGUGAAGCACAUUAGUGGGGGCUUGUUAGAUAUAAUAAAGCCCCUCAGGAAUACUCCAUAGAAUAGGAAUUGUCCCUUUAAGAUCCCGAACCACAAAUUCAAACACGAGGUAGGGGACUGAGCCCGUAAGGAGUGUUCCCCUGAAUAAUGAGUUCCAUAACUACAUAAAAACAAUCCAAAUCACUUCUAACCAGUGAAAGUCCAAGUGAAACUACUCUAGAGCCCCAGCUCCCAUCCAUCUAAUUGGCAAAGAUAAAAAGCAGAGAGUUGAGGGGCUAGAGAAAACAGGCACAGAAAUAAAUUGAUGGAACUGUUCAAGUUUUCCUCACCAUUGUGAAAAAUAAUUAAAAUUAUAAAUGAAAAGCAACUACAUGGUAGGCAGCCCAUUAGCUCAACGGUCUCACCACUGGACUAGUAUCCCAAGGAGAUCAGUGGCAGAAAGAGAAGUCUUAUAUCUACUAACAUCUACAUAAAGGCUAUUUUUUCUGGCAGUAAUCAAGAAAAAAUGAAAUUGGAACCUGGAGACUGAUGAAUGGCUAAAAAACAUAACAUGUUAAUGGAAUACUCUUGCAAAGUAAAAGAUCAUGGAGAAA
Non-coding RNA from Monodelphis domestica (gray short-tailed opossum), 2222 nucleotides. NCBI's taxonomy places the organism in Eukaryota, Metazoa, Chordata, Mammalia, Didelphimorphia, Didelphidae. The record is from RefSeq and is a predicted model, not a curated record.